ACGUAGGACGCAAGCGUUAUCCGGAAUUACUGGGCGUAAAGGGCGUGUAGGCGGCACGGUAAGUCAACCGUGAAAGCUCCCAGGCUUAACCGGGAGAGGACGUGCGAGACUGUCGGACUAGAGGCAGGUAGAGGCAAGUGGAAUUCCGGGUGUAGUGGUGAAAUGCGUAGAGAUCCGGAGGAACCCCGGUGGCGAAGGCGACUUGCUGGGCCUGAACUGACGCUCAGACGCGAAAGCAUGGGGAGCGAACGG
Molecule: ribosomal RNA, 252 nt
Filed under: uncultured prokaryote
Description: partial 16S ribosomal RNA
Rfam family: Bacterial small subunit ribosomal RNA
Source: RNAcentral